Molecule: ribosomal RNA, 491 nt
Filed under: uncultured bacterium
Lineage: Bacteria
Description: partial 16S ribosomal RNA
Rfam family: Bacterial small subunit ribosomal RNA
Source: RNAcentral
GAUGAACGCUAGCUACAGGCUUAACACAUGCAAGUCGAGGGGAAACGAUGAGAGAGCUUGCUCUCUUAGUCGUCGACCGGCGCACGGGUGAGUAACGCGUAUCCAACCUGCCUCUGACCAAGGGAUAACCCGUCGAAAGUCGGACUAAUACCUUAUGCAGUCGUCGGAAGUCAUCUGAUGACGACGAAAGAUUUCAUCGGUGAGAGAUGGGGAUGCGUCUGAUUAGCUUGUUGGCGGGGUAACGGCCCACCAAGGCGACGAUAAGUAGGGGUUCUGAGAGGAAGGUCCCCCACAUUGGAACUGAGACACGGUCCAAACUCCUACGGGAGGCAGCAGUGAGGAAUAUUGGUCAAUGGGCGUAAGCCUGAACCAGCCAAGUAGCGUGCAGGAUGACGGCCCUAUGGGUUGUAAACUGCUUUUAUGCGGGGAUAAAGUGAGGGACGUGUCCUUCAUUGCAGGUACCGCAUGAAUAAGGACCGGCUAAUUCCGUG